This 253-nucleotide ribosomal RNA is filed under the name uncultured bacterium. RNAcentral describes it as "partial 16S ribosomal RNA". It matches the Rfam family "Bacterial small subunit ribosomal RNA", at positions 524 to 776 of the family's 1533-position model. The record is from RNAcentral.
UACGAAGGGGGCUAGCGUUGUUCGGAAUUACUGGGCGUAAAGCGUGCGUAGGCGGAUCGUUAAGUCAGAGGUGAAAUCCCAAGGCUCAACCUUGGAACUGCCUUUGAUACUGGCGAUCUCGAGUCCGAGAGAGGUGAGUGGAACUCCUAGUGUAGAGGUGAAAUUCGUAGAUAUUAGGAAGAACACCAGUGGCGAAGGCGGCUCACUGGCUCGGUACUGACGCUGAAGCACGAAAGCGUGGGGAGCAAACAGG